RNAcentral lists this unclassified non-coding RNA (584 nucleotides) under uncultured Flavobacteriaceae bacterium. Its description in RNAcentral is "16S-23S ribosomal RNA intergenic spacer". The stretch from base 180 to 253 matches the Rfam family "tRNA". The record is from RNAcentral. Lineage: Bacteria; Pseudomonadati; Bacteroidota; Flavobacteriia; Flavobacteriales; Flavobacteriaceae.
AGAGAAUUUGUUACUUUGUAACAGAUGGAAAGUACGAUGAGAGAGUAAACUCUUAAAAAUCGAUUUAUUUUGCUUGGUUUAGCUGUCAAUUUUAAAAAUAUAUAAGUCUGAAGUAUCAGAUUGUUUAGAGGAUUAUUCAUUAUAAACACUAUACUGCAUACUGCAGACUGAAAAAAAACAGUCUCAUAGCUCAGCUGGUUAGAGCGCUACACUGAUAAUGUAGAGGUCGGCAGUUCGAGUCUGCCUGAGACUACUUUUUUUUUAUAAAUAAUAUUUAUUUACAGAGAAACGUUCAUAACAUAUUGAAAGGAAAUUCUAGAAGUUAGAGAAUUCAACAUUCAUAAUUCUGAAUAAAAAGAUUCUGAAUUUCACAAAUGGGGGAUUAGCUCAGCUGGCUAGAGCGCCUGCCUUGCACGCAGGAGGUCAUCGGUUCGACUCCGAUAUUCUCCACUAACAGCCAAAUGGCUGACAACGUUCAUUGACAUAUUGAAAAAAGAAAUACGAGAAAAGUAAUAAUUAAUGUUAUUAGUUAGCAAUAACUAGUAACACAUUUUGAAUAACUCAUUAAAAGAGCAAAAAAGUAC